This 428-nucleotide long non-coding RNA is filed under the name Homo sapiens (human). RNAcentral's name for it is "non-protein coding DLEU1:36". The record is from RNAcentral. Lineage: Eukaryota; Metazoa; Chordata; Mammalia; Primates; Hominidae.
UAUUCUCCACUGGUUGAAUGCAAAUGGAAGCCAGAGGAAAAGGGAACCCUUGACACAGUUUUCAUAUAGAUUGGCCUCCAGGGCAGACAGCAGUGCUCUGGCUAUAUCAAAUAAAAGUGUCAAGAGUGAGCAUCCUUGCCUUGUGCUGAAUCACAAAGGAAUACCUUUCAGUUUUUCUCCAUUGAUUAUGAUAGCAGUGGGCUUUUCACAGUGGGCUUUACUGUGUUGAGAGGAGGUCUGAUGGCCGGGAGGACAGGAAGAAGGAACCCACAAUGAAGCAAAAGUUGCGUUUAACUCUGUCCUCACCAUUCCUCUCCUGGACCUGUCCUAAACUGGAAGCUGGGGGAGGAUGGAGUGCUGGAAUGCUGCAGAAGUCUCAUGGGAGGGCGCCUGGUGUUCACCACAUGUGUACACUGUUGCACGACCAG